This 734-nucleotide ribosomal RNA is filed under the name uncultured bacterium. Its description in RNAcentral is "bacterial SSU rRNA". It matches the Rfam family "Bacterial small subunit ribosomal RNA", at positions 771 to 1501 of the family's 1533-position model. The record is from RNAcentral.
AACAGGAUUAGAUACCCUGGUAGUCCAUGCCGUAAACGUUGGGCACUAGGUGUGGGGUCCAUUCCACGGAUUCCGUGCCGGAGCUAACGCAUUAAGUGCCCCGCCUGGGGAGUACGGCCGCAAGGCUAAAACUCAAAGGAAUUGACGGGGGCCCGCACAAGCGGCGGAGCAUGCGGAUUAAUUCGAUGCAACGCGAAGAACCUUACCAAGGCUUGACAUACACCGGACCGGGCUGGAGACAGUCCUUCCCUUCGGGGCUGGUGUACAGGUGGUGCAUGGUUGUCGUCAGCUCGUGUCGUGAGAUGUUGGGUUAAGUCCCGCAACGAGCGCAACCCUCGUUCCAUGUUGCCAGCACGUGAUGGUGGGGACUCAUGGGAGACUGCCGGGGUCAACUCGGAGGAAGGUGGGGAUGACGUCAAAUCAUCAUGCCCUUUAUGUCUUGGGCUUCACGCAUGCUACAAUGGCCGGUACAGAGGGUGGCGAUACCGUGAGGUGGAGCGAAUCCCAGAAAGCCGGUCUCAGUUCGGAUCGUAGUCUGCAACUCGACUACGUGAAGUCGGAGUCGCUAGUAAUCGCAGAUCAGCAAUGCUGCGGUGAAUACGUUCCCGGGCCUUGUACACACCGCCCGUCAAGUCACGAAAGUCGGUAACACCCGAAGCCCACGGCCCAACCCUUGUGGGGGGAGUGGUCGAAGGUGGGACCGGUGAUUGGGACUAAGUCGUAACAAGGUAACC